AGCUCCAAUAGCGUAUAUUAAAGUUGCUGCAGUUAAAAAGCUCGUAGUUGGAUUUCUGGCUUGGUGCGCCUGGCCCGCCACGGUUACGUGUGUGAGUGCUGGGUCGCGCCUGCCAUCCUUCUAGAGAACGUCUCUACUCUUCAUUGAGCCGGAGGCGCAAUCUAGAUCUUUUACUUUGAAAAAAUUAGAGUGUUUAAAGCAGGCUUUUGCUAUGAAUACAUUAGCAUGGAAUAAUAAUUUAGGACUUCGGUUCUAUUUUGUUGGUUUCUAGGACUGAAGUAAUGAUUGAUAGGGAUAGUUGGGGGUGCUAGUAUUCAGCGGCCAGAGGUGAAAUUCUCGGAUUCGCUGAAGACUAACUUAUGCGAAAGCAUUCACCAAGGAUGUCUUCU
RNAcentral lists this ribosomal RNA (389 nucleotides) under uncultured eukaryote. Its description in RNAcentral is "SSU rRNA". It matches the Rfam family "Eukaryotic small subunit ribosomal RNA", at positions 587 to 972 of the family's 1831-position model. RNAcentral also lists the same sequence under 1 other name. The record is from RNAcentral.